This 252-nucleotide ribosomal RNA is filed under the name uncultured prokaryote. RNAcentral describes it as "partial 16S ribosomal RNA". It matches the Rfam family "Bacterial small subunit ribosomal RNA", at positions 26 to 279 of the family's 1533-position model. The record is from RNAcentral.
AGAUUGAACGCUAGCGGCAUGCCUAACACAUGCAAGUCGAACGGUAACAGGCCCUUCGGGGUGCUGACGAGUGGCGGACGGGUGAGUAAUGCGUAGGAAUCUACCCACGAGCGGGGGAUAGCCCGGAGAAAUCCGGAUUAAUACCGCAUAUGCCCUACGGGUAAAGCGGGGAGUCGUAAGACCUCGCGCUCGGUGGAAUGAGCCUAACGUCCGAUUAGUUAGUUGGUGGGUAAAGGCCUACCAAGGCUACGA